CCCUGGGCUCGUCCAACACAGGUGAUAUCCACAUCAUGGGUACUACCAAGAUUUUCCUGCUCCUUCUCUCAGUGGCCCUGUUGGCCCUGAGCUCAGCUCAAGGAACACCCAAGGAAGCCCCAAGACAGCAACCUGCUGAACCUGAACCAGCCCCAAGGCAACAAACUAGGAAAAG
This is a long non-coding RNA of Phascolarctos cinereus (koala), 175 nucleotides long. RefSeq lists it as uncharacterized. NCBI's taxonomy places the organism in Eukaryota, Metazoa, Chordata, Mammalia, Diprotodontia, Phascolarctidae. The record is from RefSeq and is a predicted model, not a curated record.